RNAcentral lists this ribosomal RNA (468 nucleotides) under uncultured bacterium. Its description in RNAcentral is "partial 16S ribosomal RNA". It matches the Rfam family "Bacterial small subunit ribosomal RNA", at positions 28 to 507 of the family's 1533-position model. The record is from RNAcentral.
GACGAACGCUGGCGGCGUGCUUAACACAUGCAAGUCGAACGGAAAGGCCCUGCUUUUGUGGGGUGCUCGAGUGGCGAACGGGUGAGUAACACGUGAGUAACCUGCCCUUGACUUUGGGAUAACUUCAGGAAACUGUGGCUAAUACCGGAUAAGAGCACCUGUUGCAUGGUGACGGUUGGAAAGUUUCGGCGGCUGGGGUUGGACUUGCGGCUUCUCAGCUUGUUGGUGGGGUUGUGGCUUAGCCAGGCCUGGACGGGUAGCCGGACUGGGAGGGUGACCGGCCCCAUUGUGCUUGGGAUGGGACCCAGACUCCUACGGGAGCCAGCGGUGGAGAUUAGUCCACGAUGGGCGGAAGCAUGAUGCAGCAUCGCCGCAUGCGGGAUGACGGCCGUCGGGUUGUAACCCGCUUUCGCCUGUGACGAAGCGUGAGUGACGGUAAUGGGUAAGGAAGCACCGGCUAACUACGUG